CUCCUACGGGAGGCAGCAAUCAGGAAUAGUCGGCAAUGGGCGAAAGCCUGACCGCGCGAUACCGCGUGUAGGAUGAAGGUCCAAAAGAUCGUAAACUACUGUGGCAGGGGAAGAAAAUAAUGACGGUACCCUGCUAGAAAGGAGCCGCUAACUGCGUGCCAGAAGCGUCGGUAAUACGUGGGCUUCAAGCGUUAUCCGGUUUUAUUGGGCGUAAAGGGUCGUGUAGGCGGUUUGGUAAGUUACCUUGUAAAUCUGCAGGCUCAACCUGUAAACUUGGGGUAAUACUGCUAGACUAGAAUAUUCUUUAGGGUGAACGGAACUAUGGGAGGAGUAGUGAAAUGCGUUGAUACCCAUGGGAACACUCGUGGCGAAGGCGGUUCACUGGAAGAAUAUUGACGCUGAGACGCGAAAGCUAGGGGAGCGAAGCAGAUUAGAGACCUGCGUAGUCCUAGCCGUAAACGCAUGCCUGCUGGCUGCAUGAUUUUUCCGCAAGGGAAUUUCGUGUGGCGAAGCUAACGCGUAAGC
Molecule: ribosomal RNA, 525 nt
Filed under: uncultured bacterium
Lineage: Bacteria
Description: bacterial SSU rRNA
Rfam family: Bacterial small subunit ribosomal RNA
Source: RNAcentral